Molecule: ribosomal RNA, 496 nt
Filed under: uncultured bacterium
Lineage: Bacteria
Description: partial 16S ribosomal RNA
Rfam family: Bacterial small subunit ribosomal RNA
Source: RNAcentral
GAUGAACGCUGGCGGCGUGCCUAAUACAUGCAAGUCGAGCGAACAGACGAGGAGCUUGCUCCUCUGACGUUAGCGGCGGACGGGUGAGUAACACGUGGAUAACCUACCUAUAAGACUGGGAUAACUUCGGGAAACCGAAGCUAAUACCGGAUAAUAUAUUGAACCGCAUGGUUCAAUAGUGAAAGACGGUUUUGCUGUCACUUAUAGAUGGAUCCGCGCCGCAUUAGCUAGUUGGUAAGGUAACGGCUUACCAAGGCAACGAUGCGUAGCCGACCUGAGAGGGGGAACGGCCACCUGGGAACUGAGACCCGGCCCAGGUCCCGAGGGGGGGCAGAGGUAGGGAAUCUGCCGAAAGGGGGGAAAGCCUGACGGAGCAACGCGGGGGGGGUGAAGAAGGGCUGCGGAUCGGAAAACUUUGUUAUUGGGGAAAAACAAAUGUGUAAGUAACUAUGCACGUUUUACCGGUACCGAAACAGAAACCCCGGGCUAACUCCGG